This 71-nucleotide transfer RNA is filed under the name Loxodonta africana (African savanna elephant). It matches the Rfam family "tRNA". From Rfam's summary of the family: Transfer RNA (tRNA) molecules are approximately 80 nucleotides in length. The record is from Rfam by way of RNAcentral. Lineage: Eukaryota; Metazoa; Chordata; Mammalia; Proboscidea; Elephantidae.
ACAUUGGUGGUUCAGUGGUAGAAUUCUCACCUUCUACGAGGGAGGCCCAGGUUCAAUUCCCAGCCAGUGCA